This 397-nucleotide ribosomal RNA is filed under the name uncultured bacterium. RNAcentral's name for it is "partial 16S ribosomal RNA". It matches the Rfam family "Bacterial small subunit ribosomal RNA", at positions 523 to 918 of the family's 1533-position model. The record is from RNAcentral.
AUACGUAGGUGGCAAGCGUUGUCCGGAAUUAUUGGGCGUAAAGCGCGCGCAGGCGGUCCUUUAAGUCUGAUGUGAAAGCCCACGGCUCAACCGUGGAGGGUCAUUGGAAACUGGGGGACUUGAGUGCAGAAGAGGAAAGUGGAAUUCCAAGUGUAGCGGUGAAAUGCGUAGAGAUUUGGAGGAACACCAGAGGCGAAGUCGAAUUUAUGGUCUGUAACUGACGCUGAGGCGCGAAAGAGUGGGGAGAAAACAGGAUUAUGUACCCGGUUAGUCCACGCCGUAAACGAUGAGUGCUAAGUGUUAGGGGGUUACCGCCCCUUAGUGCUGCAGCUAACGCAUUAAGCACUCCGCCUGGGGAGUACGGUCGCAAGACUGAAACUCAAGGGAAUUGACGGGG